GUCAGCCUGCCCAGUGAUCUAAUUCAACGGCCGCGGUAUUCUAACCGUGCAAAGGUAGCGUAAUCACUUGUUUUUUAAAUAAAGACCAGUAUGAAAGGCAUCACGAAGACCUAGCUGUCUCCUUUAUCUAAUCAGUGAACCUAAUCUCCCCGUGAAGAAGCGGGGAUCCACCCGUAAGACGAGAAGACCCCGUGGAGCUUAAAACACAUAACAUUUUGCUACCGCCUUAAACCACCCUGGUAUUUCCCCCACCUGCAUCACUGACUGUGUUUUUGGUUGGGGUGACCGCGGAGAAAAACUCAUCCUCCGCAGUGAACAGGAUUUCCUCCCUAAACACCAAGCUACAACUUCACGUAUCAAAAAAUUGACACCCUUGACCCAAUAAAUUGAUUAACGAACCAAGUUACCCCGGGGAUAACAGCACAAUCCACUUUAAGAGUCCCUAUCGACAAGUGGGCUUAUGACCUCGAUGUUGGAUCGGGUUAUCCCAGUGGUGCAGCCGCUACUAAAGGUUCGUUUGUUCAACGAUUAAAAUCCC
RNAcentral lists this ribosomal RNA (538 nucleotides) under Pristimantis croceoinguinis (Santa Cecilia robber frog). RNAcentral's name for it is "partial 16S ribosomal RNA". It matches the Rfam family "Bacterial large subunit ribosomal RNA", at positions 1853 to 2597 of the family's 2925-position model. Lineage: Eukaryota; Metazoa; Chordata; Amphibia; Anura; Strabomantidae. The record is from RNAcentral.